This is a long non-coding RNA of Scylla paramamosain (green mud crab), 745 nucleotides long. RefSeq lists it as uncharacterized. The record is from RefSeq and is a predicted model, not a curated record. The transcript has 5 exons. Lineage: Eukaryota; Metazoa; Arthropoda; Malacostraca; Decapoda; Portunidae.
GAGCAGUGUGGUCUCAGCAGUCUUUACAGAAGGCUGGGUGUUAUCUGUGAGGGCGUGGGGGUGUGUGCUGCUGCUGCUACUACUGGUGCUCCUGCUACUGCUGCUUGGUCCCUCCGAGCGGCAACGGCAGCCUGUCCAGCCAUUUCUGCACGGCACCCGCUGGGGACCUGCCAGACGCCCCUGGAAGCCCGUCCGUAGAAGGCGCGGGAGGGUGAAACUUCAUUGCAUGAGAAUGUAAGUGAGGCGAGAGGUGAGUGCAGCCAAGAUCGUCCCCUGCCCCCAGCGGUGCACCAACCUCCUGCUGGCGGCGGGAAAUGAAGCCCAGAUUAAGACACGGCCGUCCCUCGCAGGGCGGCCCACUCCCUCACACGCCGCCCGCUCUCUAUGCAAAUUCAGAUAUUCUCGGGACGGAGUACUUCCAAGAGAAGGGAGCACAAGUACGCCUCAAGAACUCGCGUGGCACUUCACAUUUGUAUUCGAAGAAAAGAAACAAUAAGUGGCCUGAGCAGUGAGGAGACCGCAUGACGCAGGCGUGUGUCAACUUCCCAGCACUGUAUCCGAGGUCAGAUACCCAGCAAUGUACGGUCAGCCAGAGGUCGAAUGAGAGAAUCACCAUACAAGAUCUGUGCAAGGUGGCAUCACAUCACAUGGUGGACUGUUGAGUGAGGGAAUGCUUGGAGGCCUUCAUGCUGCGGUAUGCCUCCACCACCCUCUGCCGUUCCUCCUCAAGUAUCCUGCGUCUCCC